UGGGGAAUUUUGGACCAUGGGGGAAACCCUGAUCCAGCCAUCCCGCGUGUGCGAUGAAGGCCUUCGGGUUGUAAAGCACUUUUGGCAGGAAAGAAACGUCAUGGGUUAAUACCCCGUGAAACUGACGGUACCUGCAGAAUAAGCACCGGCUAACUACGUGCCAGCAGCCGCGGUAAUACGUAGGGUGCAAGCGUUAAUCGGAAUUACUGGGCGUAAAGCGUGCGCAGGCGGUUCGGAAAGAAAGAUGUGAAAUCCCAGGGCUCAACUUUGGAACUGCAUUUUUAACUACCGGGCUAAAGUGUGUCAGAGGGAGGUGGAAUUCCGCUUGUAGCAUUGAAAUGCGUAGGUAUGCGGAGGAACACCGAUGGCGAAGGCAGCCUCCUGGGAUAACACUGACGCUCAUGCACGAAAGCGUGGGGAGCAAACAGG
RNAcentral lists this ribosomal RNA (429 nucleotides) under Acidobacteriota bacterium. Its description in RNAcentral is "Acidobacteria bacterium partial 16S ribosomal RNA". It matches the Rfam family "Bacterial small subunit ribosomal RNA", at positions 355 to 776 of the family's 1533-position model. The record is from RNAcentral. Lineage: Bacteria; Pseudomonadati; Acidobacteriota.